UGGGGCUGGGGCUUAGUGGUAGAGCACUAACCUGGUACGUGUGAGGCCCUGGGUUGGAUCCUCAGCACCACAA
Molecule: transfer RNA, 73 nt
Filed under: Marmota monax (woodchuck)
Lineage: Eukaryota; Metazoa; Chordata; Mammalia; Rodentia; Sciuridae
Description: tRNA.Thr
Source: RNAcentral